GUUAAGUAGACCGCCUGGGGAGUACGGCCGCAAGGUUAAAACUCAAAUGAAUUGACGGGGGCCCGCACAAGCGGUGGAGCAUGUGGUUUAAUUCGAUGCAACGCGAAGAACCUUACCUACUCUUGACAUCCAGAGAACUUAGCAGAGAUGCUUUGGUGCCUUCGGGAACUCUGAGACAGGUGCUGCAUGGCUGUCGUCAGCUCGUGUUGUGAAAUGUUGGGUUAAGUCCCGCAACGAGCGCAACCCUUAUCCUUUGUUGCCAGCGGUCCGGCCGGGAACUCAAAGGAGACUGCCAGUGAUAAACUGGAGGAAGGUGGGGAUGACGUCAAGUCAUCAUGGCCCUUACGAGUAGGGCUACACACGUGCUACAAUGGCGCAUACAAAGAGAAGCGACCUCGCGAGAGCAAGCGGACCUCAUAAAGUGCGUCGUAGUCCGGAUUGGAGUCUGCAACUCGACUCCAUGAAGUCGGAAUCGCUAGUAAUCGUGGAUCAGAAUGCCACGGUGAAUACGUUCCCGGGCCUUGUACACACCGCCCGUCACACCAUGGGAGUGGGUUGCAAAAGAAGUAGGUAGCUUAACCUUCGGGAGGGCGCUUACCACUUUGUGAUUCAUGACUGGGGUGAAGUCGUAACAAGGUAACCGUAGGGGAACCUGCGGUUGGAUCACCUCCUUA
Molecule: ribosomal RNA, 674 nt
Filed under: Pluralibacter gergoviae
Lineage: Bacteria; Pseudomonadati; Pseudomonadota; Gammaproteobacteria; Enterobacterales; Enterobacteriaceae
Description: bacterial SSU rRNA
Rfam family: Bacterial small subunit ribosomal RNA
Source: RNAcentral